Molecule: non-coding RNA, 218 nt
Organism: Pelobates cultripes (western spadefoot toad)
Lineage: Eukaryota; Metazoa; Chordata; Amphibia; Anura; Pelobatidae
Source: the annotation of a GenBank genome assembly
CAGUGAGUGUAUAUGUGUCAGUCAGUGAGUGUGUAUGUGUCAGUCAGUGAGUGUGUAUGUGUCAGUCAGUGAGUGUGUAUGUGUCAGUCAGUGAGUGUGUAUGUGUCGUCAGUGAGUGUGUAUGUGUCGUCAGUGAGUGUGUAUGUGUCGUCAGUGAGUGUGUAGGUCAGUGAGUGUGUAGGUCAGUGAGUGUGUAUGUGUCGGUCAGUGAGUGUGUG